UUCCAGGACACCGGAAACACACUCCAGGACAGAAACACAGGCAAACACAGACUCAGGAAGCGGGAUUCGUGACAAUUCCUCACUCCCUCUGACAACUCCACUGCAUUGCCUAAAAGUCAUAUGUAUAGCAAUACAUUAUUUACAAUUCCACUACACAAAAGAGUAUGGAGGGUAUUUGUAAAGCAAGACCAAAAGUUCAGUCCAAAAAUUGUAUAAACCUCAACUUACUCUGAUCUUGCAGCUUGUAGGGAGAGUGCCUCUAGGGUUCUGUUGGUCUUUGUAGGCUACCCCAGUAACUUUUCAUCUCCUGCACCAGGAUCCUCUCUUCCUCCUGCAGUCUGUUCACCAUCAUCAGUCUGUCGAAGAUCGCCUUUUUGAGAUGGCUGUUGCCUGUGAGAUGUAAACUCACAGAGGUAUAUAACAGAACAACAGCAAUGAUUGCAGCCUACGCUGAAGAUCUGCCUUCAGCAGCAACGUGCUCGUGGCCUAUGACCUCCUAACCCAGACAGGGCCCCAGCAGCAUGGAGGAGGGGGGACCCAGUGGCCAUGCUGGUCCCUGCAGCUCUAACAGCCCAGGUGGAGGAGGGGGAACCCAGUGGCCAUGCUGGUCCCUGCAGCUCUAACAGCCCAGGUGGAGGAGGGGGGACCCAGUGGCCAUGCUGGUCCCUGCAGCUCUAACAGCCCAGGUGGAGGAGGGGGGAAACAGUGUCCAUUCUGGUCCCUGCAGAUCUCAAAGCCCAGGUGGAGGAGGGGGACCCAGUGGCCAUGCAGGUCCCUGCAGCUCUAACAGCCCAGGUGGAGGAGGGGGGACCCAGUGGCCAUGCUGGUCCCUGCAGCUCUAACAGCCCAGGUGCAGGUGGAGGGGGACCCAGUGCCCAUGCUGGUCCCUGCAGCUCUAACAGCCCAGGUGGAGGUGGGAGGCUCAGUGGCCAUGCUGGUCCCUGCAGCUCUAACAACCCAGGUGCAGGUGGAGGGGGACCCAGUGCCCAUGCUGGUCCCUGCAGCUCUAACAGCCCAGGUGGAGGUGGGAGGCUCAGUGGCCAUGCUGGUCCCUGCAGCUCUAACAGCCCUGGUGGAGGAGGGGGGACCCAGUGGCCAUGCUGGUCCCUCCAGCGCUAACAGCCCAGGUGGAGGUGGGGGGCACCUCUAUACUCACACACACACCCUCUAGGUAGCAUAUACAAUUGAUCAUUCAUACUGUAUAAUAUACACUGCUGGUUUUUAAGUUCCCCGACUUCAGAAAUCAUUCAUUACCUUUGUGCUGUUGAGCAAGGCACCGAAGCUGACCCUGCUCCUCUCAAGUGCUGUGUUUGUGUGUUGUUUUGUCUGAGGGGUUUUGGAGCAGAGUAAAAUAUCAAUUUAUGUUGAUGGAAAUCCUGUUCUGCUCUAUUCUCUAUUCCUAUAGCGUCUCUGCAGCU
RNA transcript from Oncorhynchus tshawytscha (Chinook salmon), 1418 nucleotides. RefSeq lists it as uncharacterized. The record is from RefSeq and is a predicted model, not a curated record. The transcript is spliced from 2 exons. NCBI's taxonomy places the organism in Eukaryota, Metazoa, Chordata, Actinopteri, Salmoniformes, Salmonidae.